CUAGAUGCCAUUGCUGUGCCCAAAAGUCCCCUCCGUAGGUGUAAGGGAAGGGCAGAGCAGACUGAAGGGCAUGGACUGAAGUUGCAAAAGUCCCAAUUUAAGGGGAUACUACCCUCACUGGACAGCUAAGAGUGGCAAAUAUAUUCUUAUUAUGGCUGGAAAGAGGUGCAUACUAAUUUUCAGGGAGCUUUUUGCUCCACAAACAAGGAUGAUUCAGAAGCUGAAGAUGACUCAAGCAUGGGCAGAGCAGCAUCCUCACUGACCGGGGUGUAAUACAGUACCACACAAACUGGACUCGUGACAACGGCAAUAAGAUCCAUUAACAAUCUCAGUUAAAUAAAGGUGGUGAAUCAGCUCUUGGA
Molecule: non-coding RNA, 362 nt
Organism: Coturnix japonica (Japanese quail)
Lineage: Eukaryota; Metazoa; Chordata; Aves; Galliformes; Phasianidae
Source: RefSeq, a predicted model, not a curated record